UGGCGAACUGGUGAGUAACACGUGGGUGAUCUGCCCUGCACUCUGGGAUAAGCCUGGGAAACUGGGUCUAAUACCGGAUAGGACCAUGCUUUAGUGUGUGUGGUGGAAAGUUUUUUCGGUGUAGGAUGAGCCCGCGGCCUAUCAGCUUGUUGGUGGGGUAAUGGCCUACCAAGGCGGCGACGGGUAGCCGGACUGAGAGGUUGGUCGGCCACAUUGGGACUGAGAUACGGCCCAG
RNAcentral lists this ribosomal RNA (235 nucleotides) under uncultured Actinomycetales bacterium. RNAcentral's name for it is "partial 16S ribosomal RNA". It matches the Rfam family "Bacterial small subunit ribosomal RNA", at positions 96 to 334 of the family's 1533-position model. Lineage: Bacteria; Bacillati; Actinomycetota; Actinomycetes; Actinomycetales. The record is from RNAcentral.